Molecule: long non-coding RNA, 508 nt
Organism: Parus major (Great Tit)
Lineage: Eukaryota; Metazoa; Chordata; Aves; Passeriformes; Paridae
Exons: 2
Source: RefSeq, a predicted model, not a curated record
CUUUCUGAUGCUGACCUUGCUUGUUCAGCAGCCGUAUCAGGGCACAUCAGCCCUGGCUGCUUGAUCACAGGAGUUUGAGCCCCACCAUGUCCUGGCAGUGGAUAUUUCUGGGAGCCAGCAUCCCACACCAUGCACCGCUGCUGAGGGAUCAGUUUGAACCCAGGGAUGCCCAGGGAUGCUACAAGCAAGCGGUGCCAGGCUGACCUGUUGGCUCACAAGAUGAGAGGGGUUAACUCAUCAGAAUGAAGAUCCCCUCUAUUGGCUUAUCCAAAUCUUUACUAAAAGUGUGAUAUCCAUGAGCACAAAUAGAAAAAUGCAUCCAAGAAUUAAUGUAUGUGGGAGUUUAAAGGAGGGAGUGAAAAAAGGAAAGAAGUCCGUGUUGCUUUGAGGUUAUUUUAAAAACUGAAACUGAAUAGGUCAAUACCCCUUAAGCUUUUUGGUCUUUAAUUCUCUUAAUGGUAUGGCAGAAAUCGUUAAUUGUAUUAUUAAAAAAGCUUUGAAGACUGUA